UGUCUUGCAACCCAGCUGACCGGAGGCAAAGGAAAGGUGACGUUAGUGCCAGGAAGACCUGACUCUCCGGCCUGGCUUGGACCUAACAGGCACCCUGGCAUCCCAGGACACCUACCUAUGGAUACGCUUCCCCCACCACUGUCUCCAACCACCGUGGUUUUCUAUCCAAACACGCAGGCAGGGGCCAGUCAGACCAUCCCAUGCUAGCCUCGAGCGCCGGUAACAAUCAGCCAGGGGAGUGACAGGGUUGUGAGACUGCUCACUGGAGCCCCAGAUGAGAGGGCUGGUGGACAGAAGAGUCUGUGUCCUUUCUGGAAAUCCCCACGUGUGGAAAUGAAAUCUUCGACACAUCCCUGCUUUCCCAACAUAUAAGCUCUGUGGAUUAAAUAAUGCUCAUCUC
Long non-coding RNA from Psammomys obesus (fat sand rat), 400 nucleotides. RefSeq lists it as uncharacterized. The record is from RefSeq and is a predicted model, not a curated record. The transcript has 3 exons. Lineage: Eukaryota; Metazoa; Chordata; Mammalia; Rodentia; Muridae.